CACCUAACAGCUAGCCUCAAAAUUAAAAUUUUACUAUUAUGGAAAUAAAAACUCAUAAUAAACUUAAACAAAUCAUUUUAUCCCCUCAGUACGG
This 94-nucleotide ribosomal RNA is filed under the name Micromesistius poutassou (blue whiting). RNAcentral describes it as "partial 16S rRNA". The record is from RNAcentral. Lineage: Eukaryota; Metazoa; Chordata; Actinopteri; Gadiformes; Gadidae.